RNAcentral lists this ribosomal RNA (253 nucleotides) under uncultured bacterium. RNAcentral's name for it is "partial 16S ribosomal RNA". It matches the Rfam family "Bacterial small subunit ribosomal RNA", at positions 524 to 776 of the family's 1533-position model. The record is from RNAcentral.
UACGUAGGGGGCAAGCGUUGUCCGGAUUUAUUGGGCGUAAAGAGCGUGUAGGCGGUUUGGUAGGUCCGCUGUGAAAACUCGAGGCUCAACCUCGAGACGCCGGUGGAAACCAUCAGACUAGAGUCCGGAAGAGGAGAGUGGAAUUCCUGGUGUAGCGGUGAAAUGCGCAGAUAUCAGGAAGAACACCCGUGGCUAAGGCGGCUCUCUAGUACGGUACUGACGCUGAGACGCGAAAGCGUGGGGAGCAAACGGG